GUGCCAGCCGCCGCGGUAAUACGUAGGGUGCAAGCGUUAAUCGGAAUUACUGGGCGUAAAGCGUGCGCAGGCGGUUCGGAAAGAAAGAUGUGAAAUCCCAGAGCUUAACUUUGGAACUGCAUUUUUAACUACCGGGCUAGAGUGUGUCAGAGGGAGGUGGAAUUCCGCGUGUAGCAGUGAAAUGCGUAGAUAUGCGGAGGAACACCGAUGGCGAAGGCAGCCUCCUGGGAUAACACUGACGCUCAUGCACGAAAGCGUGGGGAGCAAACAGGAUUAGAUACCCUGGUAGUCC
This 292-nucleotide ribosomal RNA is filed under the name uncultured Achromobacter sp. RNAcentral describes it as "partial 16S ribosomal RNA". It matches the Rfam family "Bacterial small subunit ribosomal RNA", at positions 505 to 796 of the family's 1533-position model. The record is from RNAcentral. Lineage: Bacteria; Pseudomonadati; Pseudomonadota; Betaproteobacteria; Burkholderiales; Alcaligenaceae.